UACAGAGGGGGCAAGCGUUGUUCGGAAUUACUGGGCGUAAAGGGCGCGUAGGCGGCCUGCUAAGUCGAACGUGAAAUCCCCGGGCUCAACCCGGGAACUGCGUCCGAUACUGGCAGGCUUGAAUUCGGGAGAGGGAUGCGGAAUUCCAGGUGUAGCGGUGAAAUGCGUAGAUAUCUGGAGGAACACCGGUGGCGAAGGCGGCGUCCUGGACUGGUACUGACGCUCAGGAGCGAAAGCGUGGGGAGCGAUCCGG
Molecule: ribosomal RNA, 253 nt
Filed under: uncultured bacterium
Lineage: Bacteria
Description: partial 16S ribosomal RNA
Rfam family: Bacterial small subunit ribosomal RNA
Source: RNAcentral